AUUGAACGCUGGCGGCAUGCCUUACACAUGCAAGUCGAACGGCAGCACGGGCUUCGGUCUGGUGGCGAGUGGCGAACGGGUGAGUAAUACAUCGGAACGUGCCCAGUAAUGGGGGAUAACGCAGCGAAAGUUGUGCUAAUACCGCAUACGCCCUGAGGGGGAAAGUGGGGGAUCGCAAGACCUCAUGUUAUUGGAGCGGCCGAUGGCUGAUUAGCUAGUUGGUGAGGUAUAGGCUCACCAAGGCGACGAUCUGUAGCUGGUCUGAGAGGAUGACCAGCCGCACUGGGACUGAGAAACGGCCCCGACUCCUACGGGAGGCAGCAGUGGGGAAGUUUGGACAAUGGGCGCAAGCCUGAUCCAGCAAUGCCGCGUGCAGGAAGAAGGCCUUCGGGUUGUAAACUGCUUUUGUACGGAACGAAACGGUCUUGGUUAAUACCCUGGGCUAAUGACGGUACCGUAAGAAUAAGCACCGGCUAACUACGUGCCAGCCGCCGCAGUAA
RNAcentral lists this ribosomal RNA (500 nucleotides) under uncultured bacterium. RNAcentral's name for it is "partial 16S ribosomal RNA". It matches the Rfam family "Bacterial small subunit ribosomal RNA", at positions 30 to 523 of the family's 1533-position model. The record is from RNAcentral.